RNAcentral lists this ribosomal RNA (119 nucleotides) under Diaphorina citri (Asian citrus psyllid). The record is from RNAcentral. Lineage: Eukaryota; Metazoa; Arthropoda; Insecta; Hemiptera; Psyllidae.
CAAUCCGGUGAUAGCACGUUGAAAACACCAGUUGCCAAAUGAUCACUGAUGGUAAGAAACGUUACGCGUGGUUGGUAUUCGGAUGGGUGACUAUCUGGACAAUCGCGUGAACAGAUCAC